UAUAAAUACACUGAUCAUAACUGUUUGUUCUUAUUUGAGAUUUUUUUAAUAAAUUGAUCAUAUCCGUUUGUACAAAAUAUAGGAAAAAUAUUUUUUUUUGAUUCCGUCUGUCAUUGUAGGAAUUCUUAUACACUUUUAUAUAUAGUAUAGAUAUAGAUAUAGAUAAUAAACAGGUGUUAUCUACUUGAGAGGUUUUUAUUGUGUAAAAGAUAAUGCAAUUUCUCAUAAGCAACAACAUUAACAACAAAUAUACUUUAUAUGAAUAAGUCGAAAAUUAUAUGUUAGAUCAGUGAAAGAGAUUUAAAUAAUUUAAACUAUGAGAGAUAUUUAUAAAUGCACGUAAUAAUUAUUUUAAUUUAUUUCAAAUCAAUAAAAAUUUAUAAAUUAUAUUUAUCAACAAAUUUAGAAUUAAAUUUAUAUUUUAAAAUUUAAUUUUGAUCCAUUAUAUAAUAAAAUUUUUUAAUUGUUAAUUUAUAUUUGAUAUCAAAAAUUAAAAAUUAAAUCUAAAUCACGAUUUAAACUCAAAUUUAAAUUUUAAUGUAAAAUAGAUGGAUCGAAGUGCUAUUUUUUAUCAUAUUGAUUAUAAUCGUUUAUUUUUAUUUAAAAUAUUUUUAAUAAAUUGUUUGUUGUAGAAUUUAAUUUAUUGAUAGAUUUGAAUGUUUUUUUUUAACAGAUUGAUCAAUCAUAACCAUUCGUUCUUAUUUGAGAUAUUUUUUUUACAAAUUGAUCACGUUCGUAGUAAAUAUUCUUUUUAUUUUUUCAUUCUGUUAAUCUUAUAUGUUUUUAUAUAUAGUACAAAUAUAGAAAGGAAUACUAUUUUUUUAAUAAGUUGAUCAUAACCGUUCAUUUUUAAUUGAUCAUAACUGUUCAUUUUUAAUUGACCACAAUCGUUUGUAAGCUCGAUAUAAAUUAAAAUUUUAACAGAUUGAUCAUAACCGUUCGUUUUUAAUUGAUCACAACUGAUGAAUAGUUCAAAUUUGAUAUCAAAUUAAAUUUAAUUUACGAUUAAGCUUUUUUAAUUAAAAUUUAUAAAAAAUUUAAUUUUCGAUUUAGAUUAAAAGUUUAAUAGAUUGAUCAUAACCGUUCGUUUUUAAUUAUUCGGAUUGAAUUUAUAGAUAGAUUAGAAUGCUAUUUUUUAACAGAUUGAUUAUAACUGUUCAUUUUUAAUUGAUACAAUCGUUCGUAGGAUUUGAUUUAUAGAUGGAUAAGAAUGCUAUUUUUUAACUGAUUGAUCAUAACUAUUCGUUCUUAUUUGAAAUUGUUUUAAUAAACUGAUCAUAUCUGUUUAUAGGAAUAUAUUUGUAGGGAAUAUGAGAAAUAUUAUUUUAUUCCUUUUUGAAUUCCGUCUUUCAUUGUCGGAAUUGAUAAAAUUUCUAUUUUGAAAUAUUAUUUUAUUCCUUUUUGAAUUCCGUCUGUUAUUGUCGGAAUUUUUAUACGCUUUUAUAUAUAUAUAGUAUAGAUUAUAGAUUGAUAAAAUUGCUAUUUUUUAACAGUAACCGUUCAUUCUUAUUUGAGAUUGUUUUAAUAAACUGAUCAUAUCUGUUUGUAGGGAAUAUGUUUGUAGGGAAUAUGGGAAAUAUCAUUUUAUUCCUCUUUGAAUUUCGUCUGUCAUUGUCGGAAUUCUUAUACACUUUUAGUAUAGAUAUAGAUUAUAGAUUGAUAAAAUUGCUAUUUUUUAACAGAUUGAUCAUAACCGUUCGUUCUUAUUUGAGAUUUUUUUUAAUAAAUUGAUCAUAACCAUUUAUUCUUAUUUGAGAUUUUUGUAAUAAACUGAUGAUCCGUUUGUAGUUAUU
This 1793-nucleotide long non-coding RNA is filed under the name Ananas comosus (pineapple). RNAcentral describes it as "long non-coding RNA (ACOM_LNC020217)". Lineage: Eukaryota; Viridiplantae; Streptophyta; Magnoliopsida; Poales; Bromeliaceae. The record is from RNAcentral.